GCCGCUUUGGCGGAAUUGGUAGACGCACCGCACUCAAAAUGCGGCGACUUCGGUCGUUCCGGUUCGACUCCGGAAAGCGGCA
RNAcentral lists this transfer RNA (82 nucleotides) under Hyphomonadaceae bacterium. RNAcentral's name for it is "tRNA-Leu". It matches the Rfam family "tRNA". From Rfam's summary of the family: Transfer RNA (tRNA) molecules are approximately 80 nucleotides in length. Their secondary structure includes four short double-helical elements and three loops (D, anti-codon, and T loops). Further hydrogen bonds mediate the characteristic L-shaped molecular structure. tRNAs have two regions of fundamental functional importance: the anti-codon, which is responsible for specific mRNA codon recognition, and the 3' end, to which the tRNAs corresponding amino acid is attached (by aminoacyl-tRNA synthetases). tRNAs cope with the degeneracy of the genetic code in two manners: having more than one tRNA (with a specific anti-codon) for a particular amino acid; and 'wobble' base-pairing, i.e. permitting non-standard base-pairing at the 3rd anti-codon position. Lineage: Bacteria; Pseudomonadati; Pseudomonadota; Alphaproteobacteria; Hyphomonadales; Hyphomonadaceae. The record is from RNAcentral.